GAAAAGAAAAAAAAAAAAGGAAAAUUAAAAUCUGGCUGCAUUUUGUUUUAUUUUUUAUUUAAUUUUUAAAUAGAAAUUAUUGGGCAUUUAUUUAUUUAUUUUUUUGUCGAAGCAUUCUGAUGGAUGAUGAUGAUGACAGAAGUAGUGGACUCUGUAUAUUUUAUCAUUGAAGAUAGCUUAUUGAAAGACAAAGAAGCUUUACGUUUAUAUAAUAAGAUUAUAC
Molecule: unclassified non-coding RNA, 223 nt
Filed under: Hevea brasiliensis (rubber tree)
Lineage: Eukaryota; Viridiplantae; Streptophyta; Magnoliopsida; Malpighiales; Euphorbiaceae
Source: RNAcentral